RNAcentral lists this ribosomal RNA (468 nucleotides) under uncultured bacterium. RNAcentral describes it as "partial 16S ribosomal RNA". It matches the Rfam family "Bacterial small subunit ribosomal RNA", at positions 28 to 507 of the family's 1533-position model. The record is from RNAcentral.
GACGAACGCUGGCGGCGUGCUUAACACAUGCAAGUCGAACGGCAAGGCACUGCUUUUGUGGGGUGCUCGAGUGGCGAACGGGUGAGUAACACGUGAGUAACCUGACCUUGACUUUGGGAUAACUUCAGGAAACUGGGGCUAAUACCGGAUAGGAGCUCCUGCUGCAUGGUGGGGGUUGGAAAGUUUCGGCGGUUGGGGAUGGACUCGCGGGUUAUCGGCUGGUUGGUGGGGGAGUGGUUUACCCAGUCAUUGACGGGUAGCCGGCCUGGGAGGGUGACCGGCGACAUGGGGACUGAGAGACGGCCCAGAGUCCUAUAUGAGGCAGCAGUGGGGAAUAUUGCACAGCGGUAGGGAGCCUGAUGCAGAAACGCCGCGGUCGGGAUGACGGCCUGCUGGGUGUAAACAGCUUUAGCUUAUUACGAAGCGUUAGUGACGGUAAUGAGUAAAGAAGCACCGGCUAACUACGUG